Molecule: small RNA, 186 nt
Filed under: Parus major (Great Tit)
Lineage: Eukaryota; Metazoa; Chordata; Aves; Passeriformes; Paridae
Description: TUC338 (ENSPMJG00000012988.1)
Source: RNAcentral
CUGACAGCCCUGAGGACCAAAGCACACUUCCAGCCACAGAAAAGACACAGUGAAAGCAGCAAUGGGGUAUACCUCACCACAUUGCCAUGCACAUGUGGGCCCCAAGCCUGCUGCAGAAGGAUCACCUCUAGACUGGCAGAAUAAUUCAAUAUUUCAUCCUUUGCUGCUUAUCCACACUUGGAAGAG